RNAcentral lists this ribosomal RNA (497 nucleotides) under uncultured bacterium. Its description in RNAcentral is "partial 16S ribosomal RNA". It matches the Rfam family "Bacterial small subunit ribosomal RNA", at positions 28 to 507 of the family's 1533-position model. The record is from RNAcentral.
GAUGAACGCUGGCGGCGUGCCUAAUACAUGCAAGUCGAGCGAACAGACGAGGAGCUUGCUCCUCUGACGUUAGCGGCGGACGGGUGAGUAACACGUGGAUAACCUACCUAUAAGACUGGGAUAACUUCGGGAAACCGGAGCUAAUACCGGAUAAUAUAUUGAACCGCAUGGUUCAAUAGUGAAAGACGGUUUUGCUGUCACUUAUAGAUGGAUCCGCGCCGCAUUAGCUAGUUGGUAAGGUAACGGCUUACCAAGGCGACGAUGCGUAGCCGACCUGAGAGGGUGAUCGGCCACACUGGAACUGAGACACGGUCCAGGCUCCUACGGGAGGCAGCAGUAGGGAAUCUUCCGCAAUGGGCGAAAGCCUGACGGAGCAACGCGGCGUGAGUGAUAAAGGUCUUCGGAUCGUAAAACUCUGUUAUUAGGGAAAAACAAAUGUGUAAGUAACUAUGCACGUCUUGACGGUACCUAAUCAGAAAGCCACGGCUAACUACGUG